UACAGAGGUCCCAAGCGUUGUUCGGAUUUAUUGGGCGUAAAGGGUGCGUAGGCGGUUGCCUAAGUCAGAUGUGAAAUCUCGGGGCUCAACCUCGAAACUGCAUUUGAUACUGGGUAACUUGAGUACUGGAGGGGAGACUGGAAUUUACGGUGUAGCAGUGAAAUGCGUAGAUAUCGUAAGGAAGACCAGUGGCGAAGGCGGGUCUCUGGGCAACAACUGACGCUGAGGAGCGAAAGCGUGGGGAGCGAACAGG
RNAcentral lists this ribosomal RNA (253 nucleotides) under uncultured bacterium. RNAcentral describes it as "partial 16S ribosomal RNA". It matches the Rfam family "Bacterial small subunit ribosomal RNA", at positions 524 to 776 of the family's 1533-position model. The record is from RNAcentral.